AGAGUUUGAUCCUGGCUCAGGAUGAACGCUGGCGGCGUGCCUAACACAUGCAAGUCGAGCGAACCCUUCGAGGUGAGCGGCGGACGGGUGAGUAACGCGUGGGUAACCUGCCCUGUACACACGGAUAACAUACCGAAAGGUAUGCUAAUACGAGAUAAUAUAUUUUAAUCGCAUGGUUAAGAUAUCAAAGCUCCGGCGGUACAGGAUGGACCCGCGUCUGAUUAGCUAGUUGGUGAGGUAAUGGCUCACCAAGGCGACGAUCAGUAGCCGACCUGAGAGGGUGAUCGGCCACACUGGAACUGAGACACGGUCCAGACUCCUACGGGAGGCAGCAGUGGGGAAUAUUGCACAAUGGGCGAAAGCCUGAUGCAGCGACGCCGCGUGAGCGAUGAAGGCCUUCGGGUCGUAAAGCUCUGUCCUCAAGGAAGAUAAUGACGGUACUUGAGGAGGAAGCCCCGGGCUAACUACGUGCCAGCAGCCGCGGU
Molecule: ribosomal RNA, 485 nt
Filed under: uncultured bacterium
Lineage: Bacteria
Description: bacterial SSU rRNA
Rfam family: Bacterial small subunit ribosomal RNA
Source: RNAcentral